AUGUAACACUGUGAGAGUAAGUGGAGACUGAGCUGUGUAGCUCCGUCUCUUCUGUUGAAACUCUUCAGGGUGGAUUUAGUGUGUGUUAGGGCUCAGGGAGGACAGGUUGAGGGUUAAGCAUCCCAAGCAUAUGUUUAUUUCUGGCUGAGUAUUUACAGGGCUUAAAGCCUAUGCAUUUUGUCUUUCCGCCUAGGACAACAAAAGUAAAACCAGCGUGGGUUUUGGCUCUCACUGUUGUUUUUGCCCUCUGUAAGGUUAUAUAAAAAACACAGAGAAAUUAAACUAUGGGAAAGAACAUCAGUAUAAGCUGACCGUCACCGCCUAUGACUGUGGGAAGAAGAGAGCCGCAGAAGAUGUUUUGGUGAAGAUCAGCAUUAAGCCCACCUGCACCCCCGGGUGGCAAGGAUGGAACAACAGGAUUGAGUAUGAGCCGGGCACAGGAGCGUUGGCCGUCUUUCCAAAUAUCCACCUGGAGACAUGUGACGAGCCAGUCGCCUCAGUACAGGCCACAGUGGAGCUAGAAACCAGCCACAUAGGGAAAGGCUGCGACCGAGACACCUACU
This 563-nucleotide small RNA is filed under the name Pongo abelii (Sumatran orangutan). RNAcentral describes it as "processed transcript". The record is from RNAcentral. Lineage: Eukaryota; Metazoa; Chordata; Mammalia; Primates; Hominidae.